CUCGUAGGCGGCUUGUCGCGUCGACUGUGAAAACCCGCGGCUCAACCGCGGGCCUGCAGCCGAUACGGGCAGGCUAGAGUUCGGUAGGGGAGACUGGAAUUCCUGGUGUAGCGGUGAAAUGCGCAGAUAUCAGGAGGAACACCGAUGGCGAAGGCAGGUCUCUGGGCCGAUACUGACGCUGAGGAGCGAAAGCGUGGGAGCGAACA
This 206-nucleotide ribosomal RNA is filed under the name uncultured bacterium. RNAcentral's name for it is "partial 16S ribosomal RNA". It matches the Rfam family "Bacterial small subunit ribosomal RNA", at positions 568 to 774 of the family's 1533-position model. The record is from RNAcentral.